GUACCGGUACUCGGUUUCCAGUACCUCAAAACCUGAACGUUGGAUAUCCAAUUUUCUACUGCAUACCAGUACUCGGUUUUCAAUACCGAUACCAAAUACAAAUCUAGUUCCGGUACUCAGGUUUGAUUCCUCAAAACCCGACAGCUUAUUUUUCUCAUUUUGUAUUGUGUACCGGUAAUCAGAUUCUAGCGCCGGUACUCAAAACAAAAUCUGCAACUUAGACAGAUUUCAUC
This 233-nucleotide long non-coding RNA is filed under the name Ananas comosus (pineapple). Its description in RNAcentral is "long non-coding RNA (ACOM_LNC038069)". Lineage: Eukaryota; Viridiplantae; Streptophyta; Magnoliopsida; Poales; Bromeliaceae. The record is from RNAcentral.